RNAcentral lists this ribosomal RNA (486 nucleotides) under uncultured bacterium. Its description in RNAcentral is "bacterial SSU rRNA". It matches the Rfam family "Bacterial small subunit ribosomal RNA", at positions 501 to 987 of the family's 1533-position model. The record is from RNAcentral.
CUACGUGCCAGCAGCCGCGGUAAUACGUAGGGUGCGAGCGUUAAUCGGAAUUACUGGGCGUAAAGCGGGCGCAGACGGUUACUUAAGCAGGAUGUGAAAUCCCCGGGCUUAACCUGGGAACUGCAUUGGUGACUGCAAGGCUAGAGUGUGUCAGAGGGAGGUGGAAUUCCGCAUGUAGCAGUGAAAUGCGUAGAUAUGCGGAGGAACACCGAUGGCGAAGGCAGCCUCCUGGGAUAACACUGACGCUCAUGCACGAAAGCGUGGGGAGCAAACAGGAUUAGAUACCCUGGUAGUCCACGCCCUAAACGAUGUCUACUAGUUGUCGGGGAUUAAUUUCCUUGGUAACGCAGCUAACGCGUGAAGUAGACCGCCUGGGGAGUACGGUCGCAAGAUUAAAACUCAAAGGAAUUGACGGGGACCCGCACAAGCGGUGGAUGAUGUGGAUUAAUUCGAUGCAACGCGAAAAACCUUACCUACGCUUGACAU